This 468-nucleotide ribosomal RNA is filed under the name uncultured bacterium. RNAcentral describes it as "partial 16S ribosomal RNA". It matches the Rfam family "Bacterial small subunit ribosomal RNA", at positions 28 to 507 of the family's 1533-position model. The record is from RNAcentral.
GACGAACGCUGGCGGCGUGCUUAACACAUGCAAGUCGAACGGAAAGGCCCUGCUUUUGUGGGGUGCUCGAGUGGCGAACGGGUGAGUAACACGUGAGUAACCUGCCCUUGACUUUGGGAUAACUUCAGGAAACUGGGGCUAAUACCGGAUAGGAGCUCCUGCUGCAUGGUGGGGGUUGGAAAGUUUCGGCGGUUGGGGAAGGACUCGCGGCUUAUCAGCUUGUUGGUGGGGUAGUGGCUUACCAAGGCUUUGACGGGUAGCCGGCCUGAGAGGGUGACCGGCCACAUUGGGACUGAGAUACGGCCCAGACUCCUACGGGAGGCAGCAGUGGGGAAUAUUGCACAAUGGGCGGAAGCCUGAUGCAGCGACGCCGCGUGCGGGAUGACGGCCUUCGGGUUGUAAACCGCUUUCGCCUGUGACGAAGCGUGAGUGACGGUAAUGGGUAAAGAAGCACCGGCUAACUACGUG